This 16458-nucleotide long non-coding RNA is filed under the name Malus domestica (apple). Its description in RNAcentral is "long non-coding RNA (MDOM_LNC003295)". The record is from RNAcentral. Lineage: Eukaryota; Viridiplantae; Streptophyta; Magnoliopsida; Rosales; Rosaceae.
CAGGUAAAGGGACUCGUCUAUUACACAUAUCCUUAUGCAAUAGUAGUUAACUUAUUAUCCGAACAUGUACAUUGAUUCUAAACAUCUCAACAAGUUUUUUUUUUUUUUUUUUGUUCUUCUUCUUCUUUUGGCUGGAAAAUCAACAAGGUUUUGCAGGAAAGCAUGAGGGAAAGUGAGUCAACCACAGCUUCGAGAGUGAAGUCGGAUGAACCAAGCCAAACUGCGCUCGGAGGUGAAGAAUCCGAUCGUUCAAGAAAACCUUCCGAGGCAUGAAGUGUUUGCUUUUAUGGUUGCCACCUCGUAUGGAUACUGUGUACAUGCUAUGGUGAUGGACACCAUUGCAUGAUGUGGUAAUCAGACCAGUGUGUGGAAAGAUUGUGUUUUUAAACAAAGGAUGUUGGAUAAUAAGUACAUAGAAGGGUUGUUUUCUUAAAUUAGGAGCUGUGGAAGAUUUGUUUUUACGCAUUUUAUAGUUUAUUUAAGAAUGAUAAUAUGUUUUGUGGUGUUCCGUAUGAGAUACUCUCGGGUUCUUUAACUGUUAGAUCUUAGUUAUUGUGAAACAAAGAUUUAACGGUUAAAAAACUUGAAGUAUCUCAAUACUCUGGAGGCCAGAGAAAAUUCCGGCUUGGAAAAGACAAGGUAAAAAUCCAGACCAAGCCGGCACGACCAAUAAUCCAGGACAUGGUUGAAAGCUAAACAACUAAACAAGGGGACAAGUAAGCCUGGGAUUUCAGAAUAUUCUGUUGUUCCUCUGUUUCCAACUGAAGGAAUUCAGAGCAUUCGUUAUGGAAGUUGGUCAAGUUUAUAUCGUUUGUCUGGUCGUACAAUUUACGUACCAUGGAAAAGGAUAGCUACUUGGUAGUAUUUAGUUUUCUUUUAUUUUUUUCUUUUCCUUUUAACAAACGAUACGAUAUUACAAAUAUACUUUUUCAAUCAAUUGUUGAUCCACAUAACAAUCCACAAUGAGUCAUAAUUUUGUAGACUCACUUUUCUUUGCAUCCGUGUGAGUCAAAAUUGAGACCUUUAAUUAGGUAAAAACCGGAUGCCGCUAGACCAACUAGCCAUGUGCAAUUAUAUGGUGGUACUAUACAGAAGUGAGCAAAUAUGAGACAAAGAAUUAGAUUCGUUAAAUUGUGGAACUUGUAUUUUCAACUGGUUUACAAUUUCCAUUACCAGGACCAAGUAGAUAUGCAACAAAGUCCAACAUGCUGACCAUUUUUUUGGUCAAUCAACAUGAUAUAUAACGCAAUUGAACUUGAUUGUCCAACUUUUUUACCAUUUUUUGAAACUUUUUUGGGUAUACCGAUUAACUUUUUGACUAGUGAUACUUCUCAACGUUCAAAAUUAGAAGAGCUUCAAAGGGUUUCCUUAAUUGUGUCUAGGUCAACAACAACACUUGCUACACAAAUUCACCUUCAAAAAUUGGUGCCCUUUUGUUCCAUAAGCCUAACCUAUUUCUAACCAAUAAACCAACCCUCAGAUUAUGGUACCCAGGUUUAUAUAACAUAUAUACACACAUCUAAAAAAUGGAAAAAAAUGAAGCAGAUUUGACAAAAACAAGAUUGCAUGCAUGCAUAUAUAAACAAUGGAAAAAAAUUCCAAGAGAGCUAUGGAUUACGAACAAAUUAAAUGUUGUAUAUGAAGUAAGACAUCAGGAAUCGUAGUGUAAACAAUAUGAUCGUUGAUACUGUUCAAAUGUAAAUCUACAAAUUACAACAACAGAAUUAAAGAACAGCAGCAGGUUGAUCCAUAUUGUUCCAAAGGUCGUCCAAGUCUAUCAUGAUGUCAUCACCAUCACAAUCAUAAAAUUGGGUGUAGUCAAGGUUAAGAAGUGAAUUUUGAUCCUUAUCGUUGAUUUCUGAUCAAGAUUGGAUGGACUAGUUGGUGAAGAAGCCGUAGUGGGAUCGGCUACAAAGUAGUGUGCUUGAUCAGCGAAACCAGACGUACCAGUCUGCGGCGGAUCAUAUUGAGAGGAAUCAGUACCACUACUUGGGUCUUGUGUACUGGAGUAGUAAUAUUGUGGCGUGUCCGUCGAAGCAUUAUUCACAAAACCAUUGUGCUGAAGGUAGUCUUUUUGUCUAGCCAUGCCUAGUGAGGAUGCCAUAGUUGGGUCUGCAAUAGAAUUUGGUUGGGAAAGACAUGCUGCUUCUGCAAUGAAAUCAUAUGGCCUCGCCAUAGCCGUCAUUGGUGUCAUUGGUUCUUGUGUAUCAUGGUAGUAUUGUGGCAAGUGCAUUUGCUGCUGUUGAUUGUCUGGCAUAGCUAGUGAUGAAGAAGCCACAGUUCGGUCUUGUGUAACAAAGUAGCGUUGCUGCUCAGUGAGCCCAGUCGGCAAGUUUGUAACGUUCGCAUGAUCGAUAGUAGUAGUUGUCUGCUCCUGCUGCAGUGGAAUAUCAUAUUGAUUAAUAACCUCAUAGUACUGUGCUGGCUCAUGAUAGGAGUACUGUGGCUGAUCCACAUUAGUCACAGCAAUACUACUACUAGUACUAGUUGCAUUAAUAUUAGUCUGCUGCUGCUGCUGCUGCUGCUGAUUGUAGUGAUCAACAUUAACCUCAGAAGACAUGGGAGCCACAUAAGAUUCAUCAAUAUUCUCUGAUAGCCUUUGAAUCUUGUUUCUCUUGGAUUGAACCACUCGAGUAGCCUCCUCGCGAUCAUGAUCCCGAUCAUCCGCCUUUCUCUUUCUGUCAUAAUUCUUUCGAAUCCGGCAGACUACAUAUUCAUCAUUAUUCUGACGACUAGUUGAACUUGAUUUAAUGUGCUUGACCAGUUUAGGGUCAAGGCUAAACUCGUGCAUAAUCCAGCAACCGCUUUCUUGACGAAAUUUAGUAUUCCUGUAUUGAAACCUUUUCAAGAAACCUAUCGUCUUCCCAGUCUUAGGAUCUUCGACUUUGGUCCCUGAGUUCUCGCCUUUCCAUGUCUCAGACCCUAUCGUGCAAGCUAUGCGGGAACCCGCACCCUUGGCGCUGGCUGGCUUCAGCUUGGUGAAGAAAUAAAGGUCUUCAUCCUUUUCUAAAUUUUGUCCGCCAUUGUUAUUCCAUGUAUCUCUUGCCUCCAUGCUACCAUAUAGAUCGAUCUCAGGAAUAACAUGCUCAUCCCUAAACGGUACACCACGAUUCCACGAACCUUGUCAUACAGAUAAUAUUCCACUAACUCUUCGUCUCUUGGAUGAAACUUGUAACCCACGGGAAAGUUAUUAGAAGGUGCCAUGCAUAAGGUAGGUAUAACUAGGUUUUCCUUGGACGUUCUUGACAAGAUGAAAUAUAUUUCUCGGGAGGGCUGCUGAGAGAGAUGGCACGUACGUAGUAGGGUUUAUUAUAUUAUGGAGGAGAAGAAAGUUUGUUUGGGGGUUUAAAGGGAUUCCUUGGAUCGCAGCGAAGUGGGUUUAUGUGAGCGAGUUGCUUGGUUGCCCUCCAAUAUAAAUAGAUGCAUAUUAGGGCACCGCCUCUCAAUCAUUUCCAUGUAAUUAGCAUGCAAUUUGAUUCCGAGUAAACUUCUAUAUACAUUAGGGUUUCAAUUAUAUAUAAGAAAUCUGUUUAUUAGAUUUGGAAAACUCAAGACUACUGAUAAUUUUGUGGAUAAUAUAUACUUGCAUUCCCCCUUUAAACGGAUGACCUUAUUUGCUCCCGUAAAAAUAAUGUAUUAACGUACAAAUUUUAUAAUCGAAACCGUUUAAUUUCUUAAUUUUUAUUUGAAGAUCACCCCUACCAAAAAUCAUUUGAAUCGGAGAUCAUUGAAUUGAAUCAUUCGAAUGUCUUGAACAAAUAAAUGAUGUAAGUACCAAGUAACAUAUUCAUGAAGAACUAUUCAUUUAUUUGAUAUGUUUGGAUGAUUAAACAAUUUCCGAUUUGGAUGAAUUUUUGUAUGAAUAAUUUUCAAAUAAUAAUUAAAAAAAUGAGUGAUUCCGAUCUUUGAGUUUAUAUGUUCAAGAUACUUUAUUCGCAAUUUCGCAACUGGGGGAAAUAAUAUGUGCAUCGCCUCAUGGUGUGAUGCAAGUGUCCUAAUUCAGCUAAUGUAACCCCAAAAAAAGUUUAAAUAAAUAAAACACCCACCUCAUUUUUAUUUUUUGGAAAUUAACACCCGGCAAAUCUAUUGUUUGACUGAAAAAUAAAUAAAUAAUACCCCACCCAUGCUAUAACCCUCUAUUUGGAUAAGAAAACUAAAUUGAAAAUUUGGACAAAGACAAUUUUUUUUUUGGAUUCAUAAACACAUAAAUUUAAAAUCGUCGUGUGAAACAAAAACUUGAAAUUUGGACAAAAUCAAUUUCCUUUUUUAGAUUUGUAAACACAGAAAUUUAAAAUUACCGUGUGGAGCAAAAACUUUAAGGCCUAUUUGGUAGUCUACUUGAAUCUAACUUUUUAAACUCAAAAACAAUUUUCAAGUUUUAGGCCUUAAAAACUUGUUUAGUAUGACUAUUUUCAAAAACUGAAUUCAAAACUAACUAAAAAAUAUAGUCUAUUUUCUAAAAACACAAAAAAUGAGUUUUUAGAGUUUUUAAACUUAAAUUCACUGGAAAUUUUAUUUAAACUCAUGUAACCUUUUUCUACACCAAACUUAAAUUUUAAAUGUUAAUUGUCUAUUUUACCCUAUUGCAUAAUCACUAUUAAGUACAAAAUGAAAUUAAUAAUAAAACUCAAAUUUCUCUAUAAACCAAGACACUAUGAUUAAACCCUAGCAUUACCCUUUGUUUAUCCUACGUCCAUUCCAGCUAAAACUCUAAUAGUUCUGAUAGAGAAAAACAAGCUUUUUUAUUGAUGGAUAGUGAUUUUGAAGUUUUGAAUCCUACAACUAAGAUAUGACUCGAUUUAUGGAUAUUUUGUUUGUUUGCUUCUUCUUUGGAUUAAAUUUCAUACUUAUUAUAUUAUAUUGUAUUUGUUUUUCUUUGUCGUCUGUUUGCCCCCAAAACACCAUUGCAUGGACUUUUGAUUAGUAGUGCAAGGACAUAUACUUGAUUCUUGGUGCAAAUAUCGUUUGCCCAACCUCAAAAACCUUGACCACUCACUAGCGGGUGGCAUGUCUCCAUCCAAACCAAAGCAUCAAGGUCAAAUGUUUUUCUGGCAAAGUGAUGGAUUGAACUGGAGCUUGCAUCGCAUUCUCUGGCAAAUUCAAAUCUAUGGAAGAAUCUCUUGGAUCUUAAGCCUAUGGAUGGGUUUGGAAGCAGAAGAAAAAAAAUCCAUGGAAAUGCUAGUCAUAUGCAAUUAUACAGGGGCAAUGGACGCCUCUUUGAAGAAAAAACAUUCAGUUAGACCAUCUCCAACCCUAACCUAAAACCUAAAAAUAUUUAGCCCAUAAAAUUUAGGUUUUAGCCUAGAAACAGCUUUUCUGCUCCAACCCUUCUGACCUAAAAUUUUAGCCCCAGAUUUAUUAAAGAAUGAAUUUAGGCUAUUUUUUUAAAUUAACUUUUUAAAAAAAAUAUGUAGACUAUCCUAAAUUAAUUUUAUGAACAUUUUAACCUAAAAAUAUUUAAAUUCUGAUAAAUUUUGAAAAAUCACUAAAUCAAUACAUGAAAAUCAUGAUAAACCACAUAAACUUAAUACAAAUGAUAUUUAAUAAACCACAUAAACUUAAUACAAAUGGUAGAAAGAAAAAUUGGAAGAAUUGUAGGAGAAAAGUGAGUUUUGUGUGGAUGUUUGAAUAAAUACAUAGGUAUUUAUAGAGUUUUUGGGUGAAUUUUGAGUUAAAUAAUUUUUUAAAAUUAUUUUAGCUGUUGGAUUUAAAUUUGGACCGUUAGACUUGAUUAUAUUCGAUCUAAGCCGUUGGAUUCAAUAAAUAUAUAAAUAUAAAACUAAAAAAAAUAUAAUUUGAACCUGGACCGUUGGAUUAACCAACGGCCCAUUUAAAUCCAGUUGUUGGAUAAAAAAAAAGUAGCUGUUGGGCUACAUAAAUGGCUGACACUCGGGGGGACAACCCCACGUGGGUGGGCUCGGCUGGCAGGGAUGCCUAGCGUUUGCAUCGCGUGGGCGACUGGGUUUUAGGGUGUGGUCUUCAUAGCCCGGGUUUCAAUCUCACCUUGUGGGGUCCACUCCAAUUUGUGGCCUAAACUUGGGUCGAUAUUUGGCCCCAGGAUGAAUUUUAGGCCAUGGGUUGGGUGAGUUUUGGGGGAGGAAGGGGAAAUUUAGGUUUUAGGUCAGGGUUGGAGUGAGCCUUAGAGAUGUUAUUUUAUAAAGGGAAUGAGUGUAAAGAUAACUUUACAUUUUGAAUUGGAUUUGAGAGGGUAGUUUAGGUAAUAAAUUUGGGUUUAAAGAGAUAUUAAUUCUUUAAUUAAAAAAAAUAUGGGUGAAGGGUGUAAGUUGAGUGUAGAAAGAUGUAAGAUGAGUUCAAAUAAAAUUUCUAUAAACUCACUCAUUUAUUUUCUCUCCCUCCUCCUCCCAUCUCACUCCAAAAUCUAUCUCUAUCUCUUUUCUUCUUUCUCUCCCCUCCUUUUUUUUGGGGUAAAAGACUGUUUACUACCCUCAUGUUUCGUGGUUUUCAACAUUUAGUACAUCAAGUUUUUUUCGUCUCAGAUUCAUACCUAAAGUGUAAAUUUUGGGACAAUCUCAUACAUCCAUUAGUCAAACUGUUAACUCUCCCGUAAACUGUGACGUGGCGCCCAUGUGGACACUGACUGGGCGCCACGUGUCAUCCACGUUUUUUUUUCUUCUUUCUUCUUCCUCCGACUGCAACUUUUUUUUUCCUCCUCCUUCUUCCUUCCUCCUUCUUCCCCUUCUUCCUUCUUCUUCCUUCUCCUUCUCCUUCUCCUUCUUCUUCCUCCGAAUCUGGGGAAUUUUUUUUUUCUUCCUCUUCUUUUUCUUCUUCUUUUUCUUCCUCCGAAUCUGCCCAGAUUCAGUUUUUUUUUAUUUUUUAUUUUUCUUCCUUCUUCCUCCUCCGAUUGCAACUUUUUUUCUUUCUUCCUCCUUCUUCUCCUUCUUCCUUCCUUCUUCUUCCUUCCCCUUCUUCUCCUUCUUCUUCUUCAUCUUCCCCAGAUUCGGAGGAAGAAGAAGAAGAAGAAGGAAGAAGGGGAAGGAAGAAGGAGAAGAAGGAGGAAGAAAAAAAAAAGUUGCAAUCGGAGGAGGAAGAAGAAGAAAAAAAAACUUAAUCUGGGCAGAUUCGGAGGAAGAAGAAGAAGAAAAAGAGGAAUGAAGAAGGAGGAAGGAGAAGGAAGAAGGAGAAAAAAAAAAAAAAAAAAAACUUCCCCAGAUUCGGAGGAAGAAGAAGAAGAAGGAGAAGGAGAAGGAAGAAGAAGGAAGAAGGGGAAGAAGGGGAGGGAAGGAGGAAGGAAGAAGGAGAAGGAGGAAGAAAAAAAAAAGUUGUAGUCGGAGGAAGAAGAAGGAAAAAAAAAACGUGGAUGACACGUGAUGCCAAGUCAGUGUCCACAUGAGCGCCACGUCACAGUUAACAAGAGACUGAACAAUUUGACUAACGGAUGUAUGAGAUUAUCCUAAAAUUUACACUUUAUGUAUGAAUCUGAGACGAAAAAAACUUGAUGUACUAAAUGUUGAAAACCACGAAAUAUGAUGGUAGUAAAUAGUCUUUUACCUUUUUUUUUACCUUUUUCGUCUCUCCUCCAAUCCGCUCUCUUCAUUCUCUCGGUUCUUUCUCUCACCCCUCUUCCUCUCUAUCUCCUCCAAUCCUCUCUCUUCUUUCUAUUUCCUCAAAUUAUCUCUUACUUUCUUUUUUCCUCUCUCCUCUUUCUCCCUCUCCUACAACCCUCUUUUUGGAUCUCUUUGUCCAGUUUAAGUCAUAAGAUUUAAAAAUUUUAAAUCACAUACCAAUCAAAUUUUUUAGUCUUAAAGAAUUUGUUUUUCAAAAAAUGUUUUAAGAAAUGAUGAAAAUUUUCGAAUAGGAUACCAAAUAGCUCCUUAGAAAUUUGGAACGAUGAGGAUUUUUGGGCGAAUCCGCAAGCUUCCGGGCCUUGUUGAGGCCCUCCCGGUCGAAUGAAGCAGGAUUCUUUGACAUGUGUGAUCGCAUUCCCUCGACCACUUCCUCCUCACCCCGUCUCCCUCCCUGCCUUCUCUGGCAAACCCUCCGACCCCCUCUUCAACUCCACGUACGUAAAACCCACACCAACGUCGUGCAGUCCAUAUUUUUUUUAUCAUCGUAAAAGAUAUAGAAUAAAAACAUGCAUCAGCAGAGGGAUGUGAAAUUUCAAAAUCAAACGAAGAAAUACAAACAUUGGUUGUUUGAAUAAUUUACAAGUCACUCUAUUGUCCAAAAUUGUUCAAAUGGAAGCAAAAACCACGAAACUCCCUCCCUUUUCGUGCAGGAAAAGUUCACUACAUUUCGAAAAACCAAUGUAAGCUUCCCUUCCUUUAGCAAACCCUUUUGCAAAAGUUCUCUCAACUUUAAGGUACAGAAAAUAACACAAUGAAUGAAUGCAGGUUGAAAGAAUUUAAGGCCAAAAUUUUCAAAAUCUAUAAUAUGAAUAUGGGAAAAAGAACCCCUGGCGGAGGUAAUUAGUCGAAGAAACAUUUUCACCAAAAUCUGGGGUUGGGGCGAACAAGAUCAUUAGAUCCUGGGACUUCAAUGAGACGAUUAGAAGGGAAGGGAGGUCGCAAAAAUGGGAUGUGACUUGGUAUUGGGGAAAGGCUGCUGUCCUGUGGCCAUAAACGGUGGAGGAACACAGAGCUGAAAAGCUUGGUUUGGUGCAGUUCCUGCAUUAAAACCGAGAAACGAAUCCUUGAUCAUGACAGUUAAAGAAUUCGCAAAACAAAAUACUAUAAUUUUAUUACUCAGUUUUCCUUUUUCUAAGAAUUUAGAUACUUGGUUUUCUUUUCAUUACGUAUGGAGCAUAACCAAUAAUUUAGUCAAAUAGUCAUCACAAUGAUUCUUUACUUCACCAAAUUUUUGUUUCCUUCCUUGUUCAAUUAAGAUUCAUCGUAAACAUAAUAACUAGUUCAUACCUUGGUGCUUGGGAAACUGGACCUGAUGUGGAGUCAACACAGGACGAGCAGACAGUGGUGAGAUUGCCGUUGCACCCUGCACCAAAUCCUUCAAUAAAAAAGGAAGGCAGAUUAAACAAUUGUAAAUAAAAGAUACAAAAACCAUCAUGAAAGUCAUAUUUUGUUGUCUUUCACUAUCAUUGUUAUUUCAUUUCAAAGAAUGUUGGGACUCAUGCCAGUAGAAUGUAUCAACAACCAACAGGUAUGUCUUAGUCAAAUACAAACUCAAUGCCAGUCCUAAAAAGCAUGGAGUUACCACUUCAAACUUGAUUAACGAAAGAAAUCAUAUCAAAAGACAGCUUUAAUCAUAGGAGUUUUCGUAUGCCAUAGUAUCUUACUUGAGAAACUGGAUGCACGUAUACAAGCUGCCCGAAUCGUCCAACCAUAACCUGAGGGUUAGUGAAUCAGAAAAAGGGAGUAAAAAAAUGUAACUGCUCAAAAGAAGUUGACAUACAGAUGGUAUAAUAUCCUUCAAUUACUUACAGCUUGAGAAUUGGGAUGAACAUAGGGAGGUGCAGCCUGACAGGAUACUGACCAGCAUACCUAAGCGUCUGUGCCCUGCUCCCCACGUGUCCAACAAUCUAUAAUCAGAACAAACAACCUAAGAUCAAUCCUAACUAGUGCCACAACACCUCUGUCAUAUAUUAUGUAUUCAAUAUUUCUAUUUAUUUUAACAAGACAUGUACCGUGCUUUAAACCUUUGUUAGUUUAACAAAACACAAACAUACAUCUAUGCAUAGACUCAUCAAUCUCCUACUCACCAACAAGCAUUAAAUCCACGCUCACCAACCUUUGGAUCAAACAACUGCUGAUAUUCAAAAAGAUAUUGUGUACUUUUCUUUUCAAAAUAAAUAUCAACUUGAUCAAACAAUUGGUGAGUGGAUUUUCGUUUCCACUAGUCAGUAAACUGGAGAACACACACACUUAUAUUGGUGGUGAGCUUCAAGUGAGUGAAGCUGAGCCUUUAUAUAUGUAUGCACAUAUGAACACACGGUAACUUUGCCAAUUGCAACUACUUACAAGGAAAGCUUACAUUAGUAUCAUAUAAUAACCAUAUGAAUUCGAUAAUGACUACAAUACAUACAGGUUGUGAAAAUUGAGAGCCACUGCCACCAUUUCCAUUUGUGAAAUUAUUAAUGGGGACCACCUUAAAAGGUAGAGAGGUACGAGAUGCAAAAGGAUUUGAUCCAACGCCUGGCUGAGCAGCAGCAACAGGUACCAUGGGGGAGUUGUUUGGUAGAUAACCCAUGCUUCCCACUGUUGGCAAUGGGGGAGGGGUUGAUGUCGUGGCCUUCGUAAACGAUGGUGAGAAUGUUUUUGCUCCUGGGUUGAGCUUAAAUUCCUAAGAAAAAAUGCCAAAUAAUAUUAAUGUUAUCAACUUGGUUAUGUAAAUAGCAUACACAUCAUGAAUUUCUAAAAACUUAUUUAUGUCACCCGAUAUAUUAACUAGAGUAGUUGGACUUGGGAUCGCCAGGCAUUAAGGUUUCCAUAGUAUUAGGCCACAAAAACCAUAAUCUAUGAUAACACAACUACCAACAGAAUUAACACAAGGUUCUUAGGGGUGGUUUGAGAGUGAGGUGCUUAAAAAAAAAGCACCCAUGAAAAAAAGCUGUGAGGGUUUUAGGUGUGGUAAACUGAAAAAAAAGGGCUUAUUUUGGAAGCUGCUGUGAGAAUAAGCUGAAAUCAAAGGAAAAAGCUGAAGCUGCUAUUUGCAGCUUUGGAAAACUGACUUUUUUUCAAAGCACACGGAGCUACAGUGCUCCUUUAAUGAAAAGACCCACUAUCAGACUGCUUUUUUUUUUUUUCCAAAAGCACUUUUACAAAAAAGUUUACCAAACACUCUGCUGAUUUAUUUCACAGCCGCUUAUUCUCAUAGCAACUUUUUUUCAAAGCACAGCAAUACCAAACCAGCCCUUGGUGGCCCAACGUGUGGUGCAUAAAUAGAAGCAUAAACAGAUGGUCAACCAUUCUAAGUUAAGAAUAUGAAACAAUUUUGUCCCAAAACAUAUAUACUGAACCAAUAUGAAAUCAAUUGAUAAUUCAAGAUGAAUUGAACAUGGUUCAUCCAAUGGUAGUUUUACCUUGGUGCUUCUAGUAAAUUCUGAACCUUGAGGAGGGACCAUUUCAGUUGAAGUUGCCACCAGAUGGCCAUAUGAAACAUCCACGGCCGGAUUCAAUGAAGUUGUGACACUUGAAGAAACAACACCAGAUGAAAUGUCUGCUGAAGUUGUCCUUUCACAACAUUGAUUUUCUGUAUUAACAAUUACAGUAGCAGGAUCAUGAGAUACUCCGUGAGGCAAUAACUUGGAUGGGAUCUUUGUAUCAUGAACUUUAUCAGCCUGCAUAAAAAAUUUGCACUAUUAUCAUAUAACAUGAUUACAAUGUGAGAACAAUCUUGGCAGAGGUUAUCUUUACAUACACUUUCUUCCCUAUAAAACUCAUGUUUCUGUUUGAAAUCAUCCUGUUUCCCUGAGGACCCAUCAUCUUCAACCUGUCUGCCAAAAAAUUGACCGGAGCCUGAUGAUUAAAAGAAAAUAAUAGCAGACAGUACGCAAAAGUAAUUAUUGUAUGAUAAUAUGAUAGUGUUGAGCACAGAUAGCAAUUAAUGUAUGAUAGUAUGAUAGUGUUGGACACAGAGAGCAACCAUGCUGGCAACCAUGUUUCUGUGUCACAGAUAUAGGAGAUUAUCCAAAUUGGAUAUGAAUAGCUAAACUCCAUGCCAUAACAGCUGGUAGAGUUUUAUCAGCACGUGAGCACUCCUGAUACCAGUGUCAAGGCAGAGAGCUUUAGCACCCAAAGUGUCACUCCCCAAGUAUGAAAUAAUAUUAACAGAAAUAAGAAUAGAACCCAUACCUCCCAUUAGGGGCUUCUUUAAUCUGCAUUGGAAAAAAAAUAAAGUUGUAAUAAAAACCUGAAAAUGCUUUAUACAACUUGCGUCCAUAAAAAAACACAUACUCGGCAUCAUGGACCUAUAUAAGAUAUUCUAAUGCCAUUUCAACUCAUGUACUUAGAGAUUCUUUUUAAAUGUGAUGCAUUUAACUCAUGUUAGAAUAGAAAAAUAUUUGUUGGUCCAUCCUAACAAUUUAAGUGUUUGAAAAUAGUGGUAAAGCAACCACACUGUUCAUUAUAUAGAGUCGUUGGUAUGAUUUGGUUGGUCUAAUCAGCACAAUGCCCAUUAUUGUGGAAUUUUAAGUCACCCUACACAGUGCACAGAGAGCAGGCACCACAUGCAACUUAAGGUGAAUUCGGGAGUAGCUCAAAGAGUACAUGGAUUAUUUGGAAAACAUUUUUUAGUAGCCUCCAACAUUAAGAAUAUCUUUAAGUUGCAAUGAGAAAGUGUGUGAAGUUAGGAACAUUAUACUUGCAAACGACAUAGGCCCCCAACAGCAAAAGUGUUAAGAAGGCGUGAUCAGGGUUCAAAUCCCUGCAAUCACAACCUUCCAAUCUGUGUUGAGUUCUACCAGUGUGUUAAGAACUUAGGAUUCUCUAGUGGUGAAGAAAAAUUCAAAUAUGAUAGGGAGAGCUAUAAUAUUAAAAUAAAAAUUUGGUCAAUUGCUCACCAUUUUUAACUUUUUACAUAGAAAUUGAUUAUAUCCACUAACUAUUUAUUAUAUCGACUGCUUCUUCAAAUAAGUUUCUAAAAACAAAGAAUCUGGUGCAGUGAUAGCCAUAAGGGGGUGCUAAAAUUCUUAUGAGGGAAGCAGAAAGUAAAUCAUUUAAUUUUACGCCAACCAGUUUUUAAACUCUACAGUUUAGCUUUUCUUUUUAUCCUCUUUGAUGUUUACAAGAUUUUGCCAGUUUUAUUAAAGCUAUAAAUCACUAGGAGAAAAAGAAAAGGGCUUUUGCAGGAAGGCUCACUGAAAUGGUGAAUAAGCAUUCUGCUUUCAUUUUUAUGACGUGUCAACUGCCACAGAUCAAUUGAAUUCAUUUUAUGCAACGUUGUUGCAUUUUUAGGUGUUCUUGAUUUUAUUUCAUACCCAAUUUCUAUUUUAGUUUUUCCUUUCACAGUGCUUUUUCUGCAUAUAAUUAGAGUGCUAAAGUUGGCCAUGUUUUUGCUCCCUUCAAUAGAUUAUAGGAUUUUUCCUUAUUUUCUAUAAAAUGAAAAACAAGCUCGUAAAAGAUAUGGAAUAGUAAUAUAUGACUUAAGAAAUAAACUAAGCUUAUAAAGUAUAUAGAUAGAACUAUGCAUAUAGAAAAUAGUUACCUCUGACAAGUUUAUCCCAUCCAUUUUUCCAUUUUUAACUUCCAGGGCAUUUACAGCAUGUUUCAGUGGAAAUUUCCUCCCUUCAUGCUCCUUUACAGCUCUCUUUGGGGCAACACCAUGAGCAAGGCCAUUUCCAUUUUGCAUUGGGCCCCUGCUUACAUAGGUAAUUAUGAAUACAUAACUUUACACAAAAUUGAAUUUACAAUAAUAACUGAGGUGCGUAUUUAUAUAACGGUAUCUGUUCCAGCAGGUUAAACAAGCAAUAGCACAAGCUAUCUGCCAGUACAAUCAGUUGCUAUGCUGAAAAACUCUUGAUAUUUUCAGUUGAAACGAACUAACAAAAAACUUCUUUGAUCCCCAAAAUUUAGAGUCACAACUUAGUGCAGAUAAUUGUACAUACAAGUUCAACACUCAGAAAAUACCUAAAACCAUCCAUUUUCUUCUUAUUUGUGGAAGAAUCAAUUGACUUCUUUCCAUCAUUCUUUGAGCACACAUCAGAAGAAACAGUAUCCAUAACAGCUUCAGUUUCGUCGCUAGCUAUAUUUCCAGUAAUACCAUCAGCUGGAAGCAAAACUCCCUGAACGAUGUACAAAGAGCCACAUUUAACUAAGACAGAUUGCUUAAGUUGAUUCUGAAACAAAAAAAAGAAAAGAAAAAAGAGGAAUGAAAUGAAUUACAUACCAUAGCAACAACUUGGACAAGGUCACUGGAGCGAAUCACAAGAGUCUCGAUCAGUGCCCCAUUUCCCACAUUAGCAUCACUCUUCCCCUUUUUGGUCAUCCUUGCUUUCUUCAAAACAAUACCUAAACAAGACAAAAACUGACUCAAUAAAUCUUGCUUAGAAUCAUGUGCCUUGAGUGCUUGUGUGUGAGAGAGAAGGAUAAUUGUAAGUUUAUAACACACCAACCGUGUGUAUUCAGAAUUAAACUGCCGGAUAAUCUAAUUAAAGAGCACGAACGCCACAUACUCAGCGGUUAGACAAAAGGAUCCAGUCUUUCCAAAUCCAAUAUAACAACUAAAUCUCACAGCCAAAAUUCCAACUUUUCUAUCCUCCUGCGCAUUCUCAAUAAUUCACCCUUGCUCGAUGAAAAUCAGAAGCAAUCAUGAACAAAACCCGCUAUAAACCCGAGAAACCCAAUAAAACAACCCAGAUCAAAUACCAUCUUAUCCUUUCCAUCCCAAACACAACAGGAUCACAAUAACCACACAAGAAAACGAAAACCCAGAUACAGUUGAGCUUAAUAUUGAAAAUUCCGAAACAGUUUUAAAAAAUUCACCAUUUUCAAAAACGCAUUGAAAGGAAAACAAAAGCUCAAUAGAACAGAAACGCACCGUACUCAGUCUCCACAGAGGCAGUGUAGAAGAUUCCAGAAUACACAGAACCGUCCUUGACGUGGACAUCAACUGGGAGGCCAAUGAUGCACAUGGUGGCAAAGAGCAAGGCCUCGCUUAGCGAAGAAGAAGAGGACGAAGAGACAGUCUCGUCGUCUGUGAAAUCUCUGUUUCUGCAACCCAUUUUUCUAUUUUCUCUGUCUUUUUCCGAUCCAACCGAGGAAGUUUUGGCCUUCUCCGUGUCUGGUUGCAGUCAGAUUUUGGAGGUUCGAUAACGAGGGGAAGGGGAAGAGAUCUGAUGAAGCUGCCGCCAGGGAAUUCGAAAUAGGAAUAUCGCUUUCUUUUGCGCUUGUGUCCCUGUUUUGUAAUGAUACCAAAUAUUUAAGAAAUUCCCUUCUUUUUUGUUUCUUCUUUUUCAUUUUUUAUCCCUCACUAUCUAUAUGCUCCCAAGUUUUAUGUUUUUUUUUUUCCAAAUGUUUUUUAUUUUAUUUUAAUUCUUUUUUGUGUUUCUCUUAAUAUUAAUUUAAACUAUAUAUUAAUAAAACUCUCUUUUUCAAUUAAAAGAUGAUGACAAUACAUUUUUAUCUUCUAUCACAAAAAAAAAAAAAAAAAUUAUGAACAGUAACAUAAAAUUUAUUUUUAUUUUUUUUGUUGUAAAUCAUCACUUAUAACUGAUUUUAUUAUCUCUAAUUAAAAAUAAAAAUAAAAAAAAUAAAAAACAAACCUCUCCGCCUCUCUCCCCACUCUUAGGUUCUCUCUCUCUUUUCCUCUCUUCUUUAAUUUAAAAAAGUACAGUAAACAUUUUCACACAAACUUCAUAUGUAGGCAUGUACUAGUAUUAUUUAAAAGCAAUAAUGCUUAGCAAUAUUUUGUUCAAAAAAAAAAAACUUUAGCAAUACAACUUGAAAAAAAAUAUAGGGUUCUUCAACUCAUUCUCAAGAGACAUCAAAACAAAGAGCAUAGACAUCGCUUAUAAGAGUAAACCUGCUUUAGUGAUGAAUUCCAACAUAAUCUUUGUAACGAAAAGCUGAGAUGGUUUGGAAAGAAUCACACCUAACCAAAAUUAGAUAAAAACCCAUGAUUCGGUUGCAUUUUUUGUUUUUUUUGGUUGCUAAAAUCAUAACGACGAAGCUGGUGGUGGCAGCCAAGGUUGGUAGGGGUGGUAGUGGAAAUGAGGAUGUGUAGGGGUGAGAAGGUGGUACAAAUGGUGGAGCCUAAGGUGGUGAUGCUGGCGGGUAAUGACGUCAAUAGAGAUGAUGCUAUGGUGGAGUUUGACCGAGCUUCCACAUUAGUUUGAGAGAAUUUGAUACUUACAUAUAAAAAUGAUGUAGCAUAAAUUUGAUACUUAUAACACUAUUGCUACACAUGAGUUUAUAAUUGUGAGAGUAAAACUUUAGAACGCAACAAUUUAUAAGUAUCACACUCAAAUUUUGCGGUCUAAUGUAAAGAGCGUGAUUCUUAUAUGAGCUAAAUAUAUUAAUCACACUCACUUUUUCUGGCCUGUAGAAGGCUGCGAUGGCGUUUAUAGAGGUAGCAGCAGUAAGAGUGUGAAAGUAUGGAAAUAGUGAAUGGAAAUAACAUAGCAAAUAAGCCUGAACAUAAACAAACACGAAUAUCCGCUGCUCAAUAUAUAAAACUGCAAAUAACAAACAUAAAGUGCAUCGUAUCCCGAGUCUCACUCGGGGCAAUCAAGGGUGGGAAGGAAGAACACAAAAGAGAAAAAGAAAAUAAAGAUUGAAAGUUGAUAUGCACUCCACAACAUGAUACAACAGCAGCUCGAUGAUACCCCCAGCUUUCAACAUAUGAGGCAGGCAGCUGCAAAUCACUGCAACGGUGGAAGCAUAUUCGCAAUCAUGAACAAGCCUAAUUCGAUAUCAAGUAACAAAACUGCAUUUAAACGAGUGAUGAUAGUUACCUGCUGUUGCUGUUGAUAUGCACCGGGCUGCUGGUAGUUUCCAUAUCCAGCAGCAUAGCCUCCAUAAUACAGGGCAGGGUCUUGGGCAGGAGGAG